GUCCUUUAAAAAACGAUAUAUAAUGUGUGUCGGUGCAAUAAAUUAGUAAAAUGCAAAUUGCAGUUGAACGCAAACCGCAAAAAAUGAAACAAAUGCUGUUGAGCUUCUGAAGCUCUGUCCUUAAGGGGUUAAAAUGGAAUGAGGCAAAAAUGUGAUUCUUAAACUAAUUUGCAUAUGCCCACCCAGAAUCCUUUGCGGUUGUAAUAUCACUGCAGAUUUGUGAUUUCUGUGGGAAAAGCAAGUCUUAUGGCUUGACUGGUGUGCAGAUUUUUGUUUAACCCCUUAAGGACCAAACUUCUGGAAUAAAAUGGAAUCAUGACAUGCCACACAUGUCAUGUGUCCUUAAGGGGUUAACAAUGUAUUAACUAUCCACAGACUUCAGGUGGAAGGGGUUUUCAAUCACAAUUUUUCCCCACCAUAACCUAUUUG
This is a non-coding RNA of Pelobates cultripes (western spadefoot toad), 429 nucleotides long. The record is from the annotation of a GenBank genome assembly. Lineage: Eukaryota; Metazoa; Chordata; Amphibia; Anura; Pelobatidae.